This 27-nucleotide non-coding RNA is filed under the name Homo sapiens (human). The record is from RNAcentral. Lineage: Eukaryota; Metazoa; Chordata; Mammalia; Primates; Hominidae.
UGAUAGAUUGUCCACUACGCAGUGAAA